Molecule: ribosomal RNA, 253 nt
Filed under: uncultured bacterium
Lineage: Bacteria
Description: partial 16S ribosomal RNA
Rfam family: Bacterial small subunit ribosomal RNA
Source: RNAcentral
UACGGAGGGUGCAAGCGUUAUCCGGAUUCACUGGGUUUAAAGGGUGCGUAGGUGGGCAGGUAAGUCAGUGGUGAAAUCUCCGGGCUUAACCCGGAAACUGCCGUUGAUACUAUUUGUCUUGAAUAUAGUGGAGGUGAGCGGAAUAUGUCAUGUAGCGGUGAAAUGCUUAGAUAUGACAUAGAACAUCGAUUGCGAAGGCAGCUCGCUACACAGUAAUUGACACUGAGGCACGAAAGCGUGGGGAUCAAACAGG